This 5626-nucleotide long non-coding RNA is filed under the name Mytilus galloprovincialis (Mediterranean mussel). The record is from RNAcentral. Lineage: Eukaryota; Metazoa; Mollusca; Bivalvia; Mytilida; Mytilidae.
UGCAAUGUCAUGAAUGUGUAGAAUAUUUUCUUUGUUCAUAUAUUUAAAGCUAUUGGAUCAUAUAACAACGAAUUUUAAACAUGCCAAAAAAUCAAACAAAUGUGAAAUUGUCAUUUCUUGUACAUAUAAAUUAUUGAUUUUUAAUACAUUUAUUACUUUAAAUGGAAUAUUGCCAACACAAUGAACUGAAACCUGAAGAUUACUUAUUUCAAGCCUCACUACUGAUGGUAGGGGACAUUAUGUUUUAUGAGUCAUUUCAUUAGUAACUAAAAAACAAGGUCUUAUAUACAAUAAGUAAACAUUGGAAUAAAUACUGUUUUUUGAAUAUUAAUUCUACAAAAAUCAAUAAAUCUGUUCUUUAUAAAAAAAAAAAAGGUCCAGCAAUAUGAUGAUAUAUUUUGUUUAUCUGUUUUUAGAAUCAGAGCAGUUUAGCUGAUACGUUCAGUACCCUACUUUUUUAAUUUGUUUUGAAUAUUAAAAACCACUGUGAUUGAUGAUAAUCUAAUAAUUUAAUAAUUAUAUGCUGUUUUGUGUUUUUUUUUGUUACACUUACUUUGUACACAUGCCAUGGGAAGGCACUUUCAAAAUGGGGUAUAAAUCACCAUUAGAGGUGAAUUUAGAGUUUCACUCAUAUUUUCACUGUACCAUGAUGUACACCCACAAAGAAAUUACAGAAAGCUAAUGAAAUAUAUUAAGCCCUAGUCCCACUAAACCACGAUCGCACCACACUCACCGCGAUCUAAAAUAAGUUCAGAUCGUGGUGAGGUCGCGGUAUGAGUGGCAUGAAAAUGUAAAUUUUCGCUGCUUUCACGAUAAUACUACGUCCUCAUUACGCUUCUACAACAAUCCCGCUAUGAAUAUACCACGUUCUCACUGCGCUUAUCAAGAUCUUUCUAUGCUCAUCACGUUCUCACUACAACCAUACCACGAGUUAUCCGAUUGCAACACGAUCUUACCACGCUUCUACUGCAAUUAUAGCACGUUCUUACCACGAUUAUACUACAUUCAUACCGCAAUCUUACUACGUUCCAAACAAUAAUAUCAAUAUCGUGUUCCAUAUCAAAACAGUUCCAGUACUUCAUGUCUGAUUAAUACGUAGAUUUCUCGGAAGCAAUACAGUCAUGCCACCCAAAUUUACUUGAACAUGUGGGCGUGGUGCUAUAGAGGUUGAUGAAGAGGCAGAGGGAGUAAAGUAACAAACUUGAUCAAUUCAACCUAAAUUAAACCUAUUGCUGGUCCAUAAAGCUCAAAUGACAUUAUUUUAGUGAACAAUAGCAGAGAUGACACAGACGUAUCAAUUGCUAUUGGAAGAUGUGGUAUGACUGCCAAUGAGACAUACUCUCCAUCCAAGUAACAAUUUAUAAAAGUAAACCAUUAUAGGCCAAUUACGGCCUUCAACACGGAGCCUUGGCUCACAUCGCACAGGAAGCUAUAAAGGGCCCAAAAAAUUACUAGUUUAAAACCAUCUAAACGGGAAAACCAACAGUCUAAUCUAUAUAAAAACGAGAAGCAUGGUUGAGCCGUUAGAGCAAAUGGAUAAUUACAUACAGACUAACAAAAUGUAGGGAGCUUUUUUAUAUAUUUUUUUGUGAAAAAGACAAUGAGAAUGAUGGUCGUAGUAUGGACAUAGUUAUGUGGUAAGAAAAGCGUGAUGAGGACGGCAUGGGCGCCCUAGAAUCGUACUAUGGUCCCAAACAGCGUCGUAGUCGUAGUGGAAGCUUUGUUGGGUCGUAGUGAGGUCUCUGAGAGAUCGUAACGUAGUCCCUCUGAAUAGAAUCAUGCUCUCGCUACGAUGGUACAGCAACCUUUACUACGAUCUUAGUACGCUUCUACUAUGACCUGCUUUCAGCACGAUCGCACCACGAUUGUUUUGAACAUGUUCAAAGUAGGCCAAGCUCAUCACGAUCUUGAAGACCUAACCAUGACUGUGAUACGACCUUACUGCAAACUAUACAAUUUUACUACGAUCAUCAAAAUUUGUAUUUUUUUCACAGAUCAUAGUGUGAUCGUUGCCUAGUGGGACUUCAGUAUUAACUACCAUGAUGAAAAAAGUAACAUAUUUCUAUGAUAAGAACACUAAAGUUUUUGUUUAAGGUGGCUCAGGCCUAUUCGAAGUUUCUGUCAGAAGUGCCGUAUUUUUUGUUAUUUUAAACUUUACAGAGAGUGAAUCAAAUUGUUUGAAAAAAAUAGGGUGUCAUUUAAGCUCAAAAUAUUACUUUUAAAGAGGUAUGUAAAAGGGACUGUUUUUCAAUGAAAUGAUGGGGAAAACAGAGAUGUUGACAUAUUUUUAUCAGAUUAUCAAAAAAAACCGUUCUGUGACACUUCAUCAAAAACUGUAAUAUAAAAAGCUGAAAUAUAGCUUCAAAGAAUGAGCAAAUAAAAAACAUAGGUCACCUAUAAGCAAAAAAAAUAUAUUUUGCCUUAAAACCAAAAUUUUGGCAGGAAAAUGGUGAAAUUUAGUGAAAUGUCAUUUUGAGCCUUUCACAGAUACACAUAAUAAUGAUAAAAGUACAGUGAUUUAACAUUUUUAAUCAAUCAAAAUAUUUAACAAAAAAAAAAUGAAUUUAAGACACAAACUUUUCGUGUGCAUGGUAAUUCAUGCGUGAAAUUACAUGCGCAGUCGAAUAGUCCCGAUCCACCUUAAUGUGUAUGGAGAUUUUCUUAUUGAGUAUUUGUACUAGUAUUUGUUCUUUUAAAUGUUGAAAGAUGAUUAAUCUUGAAUCUAAAGAAUGAUUUGCUUUCUAAGUUAUUCUUUGUUUAUAUUGUGUCAGAUUUGAUACAGGUCAUAUUGAUCUCACUGAUAAUUUUGAUCUGUUUUAUGAGUUGUUGAUAUUUAAUUGUACAUAAUUUGAAUGUCUGUAACAAAAUGUAUAUCUGUAAUUAUAUGUUUAUAGUUUUGUAAGAAGAAAAUAAUACAAACUUCUUAGUUAGAUUGACACCUGUCCUAAUUUGCUGUCUGUCUUAGAUUGACACCUGUCCUAAUUUGCUGUCUGUCUUAGAUUGACACCUGUCCUAAUUUGCUGUCUGUCUUAGAUUGACACCUGUCCUAAUUUGCUGUCUGUCAGUGUAUGAAGACUUUUGAGAGUUCAUUGACAUGCACAUUUGUUACUUGAUACUUAUACUUCAGCAUUCAGCAAUCCUCAGUAGAAUCCGCUACUCUUCUAUCCCUCGGCUGUAAUUCAGUAUGUGAUAUGUGUCUACGCCUUACAUUUCUUCGCCGGAAGCUGAAUGAUUUACUGCUAGUGCUUAUAUUUUUAAUACUUUAUUCCCCUCCUUUACAGGAGAUCAGUAAUGGAAACCUACGUAUUACGGACGAAGUUAGAUGAGGUACGGAAACAGCCGAGUUAAGACCAAUGAUACUUUAGAAAAGACUAGGAAAAUUAUUUUAAUGCACAAUGGUAGCCAUUUUUAUCAAACCCCUCUUUUGAUACAAUCCUAUUUCACAAAAGUAUAUGGGUGUUAAUCAAAAAAACUUUUUUUAAGUAUAAUUUGCAUAAAUUGUGUUUUAUACUAAGAUUUGAUUAAUGUGACAAGAAUGGCAAGAUUUGUUUUCAGUUGUAGAAAAGACAACGGAAAUUUUGUUAUCUUAAUUUAUUGCUCAAUGGUAAAAUCUGAAUGGCAUGAACUAAGUAGAUAGUAUUGUAUAAUUGCCAUGGACUUAAAGUAGACAGUAUUGUAUAAAUGGUUGGACUAGGUAGACAGAAUGGUACAAAGUAUUGACUAAGUAGAAAGUAUUGUAUAAUUGGUUAUGGUUUUUAUAGUAGUUUUUGUAAAUCUUUGUCAUAUUGACAUGUACUUAGAAUGUGAAUGGAAUCCUAUGUAUUUAUAUAUUGUAUUUUGGAGUGGAAGAGUGAUGUCAUUUAUUAGUGUGCUGUAGCUGAUCUACAUGUGUUGUGCAGAAUUACAUGGUGUUCUGACUUAUAAAACAUUAUAGUUUUAAUUCCAAUUAAAUAUACAUUUCUGUUAAUUAAGCAUUCCAGUAUCUCUUAAAUCUAUAAUUACAAAGUACAAAUCUAAAAAAAGUAUAUAAAUUAAAUGAAUUGUUUUUAACUUUGAAGUAAUCCUCCAAGAUCAAAUUAUGAAAAUAGCAGUAAUAAUGUCAGAAAGUUAGGCUUCUUUGAACUAGUAAAACUUGGAGAAAAAAAGAACUCCCUCAAUUUGUUUAGGAUUUUAAUUGUUAUUGAAUUGACAGAUUGAAAUCAAAUAAAUGAUAUCCUCCUUGUCAAUCAAAUUAAAGUUUUCACAGUGUUGUAAAAGAAAUGUCAACUCAUUAUACACAGUUAGGAUUUAAUUAAAAGGGAAAAAAUGGAGUAAAAUAUGUAGUGUUGUGUACCAUUGUAUGUUGUACAUUUUGUACAAGUAAAUUAUAAAUAAUGUCCAAUUUGUAAAGGCUUUGUUACAUAGCCUGGAUGCACCUCAAUUUAAUGGAGUAGGUAUUUUUAAGAAAUGAUUUGACCAUCCUUUCAUUUAAUUUCUUCACAUUUUAUUAUGUAAAAGUAUCAAUCUGUUAUAUUGGAAGCACUUAAAUCUGCUGAUUGUCUUAAAAUAAAUAAUUCGGCUGGCAAAGAUCUGACCAAUGAAACACUUGUACACAAAACAUCUUUUUCAUGUACAUUGUGAACACAUCCCUUUUAUGGUAUUAAGUAUCAAACAAGUUUUUAGGUAAAUUCAUGCAAUCAAAACAUUAUGGGACUGACUUGGUAUCUAAAUUUUUUCAGAGGCUUAUAAUUACCUUUUUUGAAACACAAAAUAUAAUGCAUAGAUCAAAACAUUUUAUACAUCCUAUCCUUGAACAUUUCAUGAAAUUAAUGGAUGUAAUAUAUGCUCAGAUAUUCAAGGCACAAAAUAUUGUUACACUUGUCAAGAAAAUUACAUAAUUUUGGCAAGGUGUAGGAAACUUAUAUCUGAUCUAAAAAUAGAAAGAUAUAAUUUUUUACAUCAUCUUUAAAAAUUUGGAGUUAUCUUCCUUUGUCUAGAAUUGCUUUUAAAUCAACUACAACCAAUGCAAUGAAUAAUUUUACUUUCCACUGAUAAAUUGAAGCAAUCUUUACUGCUCAGUGCUUACAAGCACUUUGAUUUUCAGUUAUGGCUAGUGUGGAGUUUGACAUUCAGUUUUAUUAUAUAUUUUCUGAAAAGGUUUGUUAAGUUUAUAUUCAUAAGUCAAUCUUGUAGAAAUAUCAAUGUGAAGACAAUCCAAUUUCUACAUUUUUUUUUCAAUAAUCAAUUACCUGGAAUAUUUGUUUAUCAGUCUUAUAACAGGAGAUUCGUUUAAUUGUUGUCAUAUUGAGGUAUAUUUUGUUGUGAAACAGAUUGAAGGUAUCUUUCAUAUAGAAUAUGACAAAAAGAUUGAUCUGAUGGAUGAAAGAAUGAUUGAUUUUUAUAGAUUGUUUGUCAAAUAGAUGUGAUCAGCUAAGAGCUAAGAGUGGAAAGUGAUCAGCUAAGAGUGAAAAGUUUAAAUCUUUUACCAUGAAUAGUUAUUUGAACAUUCCUUAUUUCUGAAUGAAUGUGUAACAUGGAAAAGUUAUGAAGGGCAAGAUUUGUACAUAGAAUAAUAUUUCAAAGAAAAGGUGCUUUUUGUUGUGAAAUAUAUUAAUGUUUGUAGAAAAAAAUAAUAAAUUGUCGUUCA